RNAcentral lists this long non-coding RNA (303 nucleotides) under Ananas comosus (pineapple). Its description in RNAcentral is "long non-coding RNA (ACOM_LNC033883)". Lineage: Eukaryota; Viridiplantae; Streptophyta; Magnoliopsida; Poales; Bromeliaceae. The record is from RNAcentral.
ACAUUUCUAAUUGUGUAGAUUAACUUCAACGGUGCCGAUUAUCAAUUUGAAGUUCGAUCAUUCAAAUCAACUUGAUACGACAAGGGUUCCAAUUCUAUUAAUAGAAUAGUAGAGCGGACCCUAUAUAUAUAUAUUAUAUAUAUAUAUAUAUAUAUAUAUAUAUUAUAUUAUAUUAUAUAAUUAGGCUGGAAUAUCUAUUAAUAUGUAAAACGCUCUUUUUGCUAUCAAAUUUUUAACUCUUGGAUGAAAAAUUGUAAGGUCGGGAUGAUAUUAGUCGGUUAGAGUUCAGUGUCCCCCUAGGGU